This is a long non-coding RNA of Stegostoma tigrinum, 800 nucleotides long. RefSeq lists it as uncharacterized. NCBI's taxonomy places the organism in Eukaryota, Metazoa, Chordata, Chondrichthyes, Orectolobiformes, Stegostomatidae. The record is from RefSeq and is a predicted model, not a curated record. The transcript is spliced from 4 exons.
GUACUAUCCAGAUUGGAACAGAUUUACCCCAGAAGGUAUUGAAUACAAGUUCCAAAUCACUCUCAAAAUCCUAGUGACUGUUAACAUUCAUGUUUUUUUUGUCUGUGUGUUUCAGUAGUUGCAUGUCAGUUUGAAUGGUUCAUUGAGAGUGAGGAACCUAUGGACUCACACACACCAUCAUGGAAUUUAAUUCAAAGAGUGACUCCUCUUCAAAGUACUUAGUCGCUUUUAAAAUCUUGACCAUUUCUGCUGUCUAGUUGAACAAGUGUAGCUGAAUACUGCUUCAAUAGGAAUUAGUGUUUAAUAGGAACAUAUUUGUGAAACUUACAGUUCCUCAAGCUUUAGCAUAAACUGGUGGAGACUUUCGGCGCUUGCAAAAAGGCUCACCUCUCUUAAUACUGAAGGAAAAUUGGAGUUUAAAAAUGCGGAUAAAGUUCUCCAAGCUGACAGAAAUUGAAAGCACUCGCAUCCUGUGACGAUGGGGUAGGAGUGGAAGAAUCAGAGUGUUUCUUUGAAAAUUGGCUUGAUGUGUCUGUCCAAGGGUCAUCUGGAGGAAAAAAUACAAGUGUUGAACUCCAUCUGCCACCUCUCAGCCCAUCUGCAGCGAGCAGCAGCGGAGGCAAGACGGACCCGGAAGACUGCAGCUAAGGUAAAGCAGUUUAUUUUUAAAAUUACUUACCGGUAGCGGGCAGCGGUGUUUUUUUUUCCUCUCAGACAAGGAGUGGGAGCAGCAGAGGAAGUGACGAGGACCAGAGGGGCAGCCGGGAAGGAAAGCAGUGACCAUAUAUAUCAGAGAUAAU